This 3260-nucleotide long non-coding RNA is filed under the name Cicer arietinum (chickpea). RNAcentral's name for it is "long non-coding RNA (CARI_LNC001993)". Lineage: Eukaryota; Viridiplantae; Streptophyta; Magnoliopsida; Fabales; Fabaceae. The record is from RNAcentral.
GAAGAACAAAUAUAAUACUUUAUUUAAAUUUAUUAAAAACAACGAAGUCCACCAUUGGAUCAAGUUGGUUUGAAGAACUAUGACUCUUACUUGUUUUGAUGAUAACAACAUUAUUUUGUGGGAACAAUUUAAAAUACUAAUGUUCUGUUUUAGUGUGUAGUUUUCAAAACAAAUUAUUCCUUAUGAGUUCAGGCUACAUCCUUUGAUUUUUUAUCUGAGUUAAAUGAACACCAAGACUCCAUUUUUUAUUCACGUAUUUUGAAUCUAGCGAACGCGCCUUUGGUGACUUUGCAAGUGAUUGUCUGCCUCUAAUAAUCACAACAAACAUAUGAUCUCUAUGCCUCUAGUUAUCACAACAAGCAUUUGAUUAUCUGACUCUGAUAAGUCAACACUCUGAAUAGUUAACACUAUGAUAAGUCAACACUUUGAAAAAUCAAUGAACUGAAGAAGACAAAGUUUUUGCGCAUUCUCUACUAAACACCCGUAAGGUCUAUGCGACAUACUCCAAUCACAAUAUCCUCCGCUCCUUUUGUAUACAUAUCUAGAUUCACAUAAUCAAUUACAAGGAUAUAUUUAACAAGGUUUAAUGGCGAAGCAAUCUAAAAAGAUUUGGUACGAAACUUCAUGAUACAUGUCGAUUUCCUGCAAUCAAGAUAACAACUAGAAAACUUAAAAAUUUCUAUAAAAGAACGUGCAACUUUCACUGAAAAGUACAAACGACUACGUACCACAAUAAGCACUAUACAACCAUCUCUGCACUUUUUCUCGUUAACUUUUAUCUUGUCUAAGUAUUGUGAAAUAUUUUAUGAGAGUACAACAUUUUAAACAUCCUCUUGUAAAAGUUAUUCAGAAAACCCUUUAACCGUUCUUUUUGUAGCCUAACCCAGUAGUGGUUGCAUCCCUCGAUAGCCUGAUUGUACUGAUUUAGAAGGUUAAAAAGACUUGAACACAAUCAGUUUGACUAGUAGGUGUUCAAUGGAAGUGUAAUUCAUCUGGUGGAUUAGUGGAUUAAGUUCUUCAGGUUGAAGGAACUAGACGAACUACCGUUUUUGUGGUGAACCAAAAAAAAUCGGUUGUGUCGCUUUGUUUUUAUUUGAUCUUUUGUUUCAUCAUUUUCUAAUAAAACUGUUUUAAAAUAGCACACAAUUCAAACUCCCUAUUUCUUGUGUUUUUCGUUCCUCAAAUUAUUAUCAAAUACAUAUAGUUUUUAACAUAAAAUAUGCGCAAAAAAAUAGCCAUUAAUUGUUUUAAUACACCUAAAAUGAAAUAAAAUAUUGUUGAAUAAAAACUAACAAUUACAUAAGCAUUGCAAAGUUCAUAGCAAUCAAAGCACAAUAGAAUUAUAAGAAAAUUAGUUAUACAUGUAUUUAACAAUCUGAACAUGUACUAAUACCUGAAGUAGAAAUGCCAAUCACAAAGAAAUGAGGUUUAAAUUGUGAUCCCUUUUUAAAAUCUUAAUUCCUGAAUCUAAUUCAAAUUAAUUCAAGAUCAAUCUUAGUUUCAAACAAAAAGUCCAUAAUGUUUUUGGUGAGUUAAAGAUAAAUAAAGCAUAUUAUUUCUAGGUGAUAUGUGUUCACUGAGUGAAAAAUAAAUAAGGAUAAGGAUAAGAAGAUCACAUAAUGAUGUAUUCUUGUUCACCCUAUGAAGGCUACGUCCAAUUCUCACAAUUUGUGAGAUUUUCCACUAGUGUGCUUAGCACCAGAAUAUUUUUGCUUUCACACUAUCUUUCUUGAUCAGUUUCAGAAUUCACCUUUCAACCUUGAAAUAUUUUUACAGUCACCUUUCAGUCCAAAAAUAAUUUUUACAAUUUACCGUUUAAUAUCUAAAAAGCUUUUUACAACCUACUCAAACUAUCUUAAGAGAUAGACUUGGGUUAUAAAUGAUGUGUACGAUAAAAUAGUUUAGGAGUAAAAUCUAAUCAACACUUGUUUGAGAUUGAUUAUUAGUAAUAACUCAAUAAAGUGGUCUUUGAAUAUAAUAAGAGAGAGCUAAAGUUUUGCUUAAGAGAGAAUAGCUUUAAAACUCUUGCAUUUUUCUUCUCCUUGGUUGUUCCUUUUAUGGUUCAGAUUGAAGUCUAUUAAACACAUGUGCUAUUUGGUCCAAAAUGUUUCUCUAUAAAACCGAAACGUUCUUGGUUCUGUUUUUUUAUGGAAAACGUGGAUGAAUAAUUGAAUGGUUGUGGAAUGCCAGUAUUUUGAUUCAGAAGCAUGCAUAUCAUUUUGCAAAAAGGAUGCAACAAUAGUGUGCUCAUGUCCUUGUUAUCCUUGCUCACAACUCGUCAAUCUGGAGAUCAAUCUAAUCAUUGAUCUGAAGACUAUUUUGAGCAUAAAAUCAUGGGAACCAAACAGUGUAUCAAAAUGUUCAUUUAAGAAAAUUCUGCAAACAUACACUUAAACAAGAGAAUAUGCAAUUGAAAUGGAAAUAGUCAUUAUAUAUUAAAACAUAAAUAACAAUCAGUCAUUGAAGUCAUUACAUAAGAAAUUAAAAUUUCCUUAAGACCGAUGAUACAAGCACAUGGAGACAUACUUUACGUUUUUCCUUAACCUACACCAUUCGUCUAGAAAACAAGUGAGGUCUCUUAAAAUUUGAAAAUCCUCAUUUUCGUUAAAUAACCUCUUAAAAUCUAAGAGUAGGAGUCAAAGUAGAACCUACUCCAAACAAAUACUGCCUAAUCCAACUUAAUUUUCCAAAAACAGUAAGUCAAAGUCGUAAUUCUAAACACUUGGAACCCUAAACACAAUCUUAAAGUCCAAAUUCCAAAUGUAAAUUACCAAUGUUUGUGAAGUACAAAAAAGGAUUGAAGAUUACCAUGUGAAAAUAGAUCCUUUAAACCAAAGCUUGCUCGAUAAUACAUCAUUUGUUGAUGAAUCCCGAUUUUAGAGAUGAAGGUGAGAGAAAUCUAAAAUUGGUGAUGGAGAUGAUGAAUGAGAUGAGUGGGUGAAGAUUAGGGUAGGAGAAAUUUGAGAGAACUUAUUGAUUGAAGGAUGAUUGUGGAGGUUAGAUUUCUUAAGAAUGAGAGAAAAGUUGAUAAAAAAUGAGUGAAAUGGGACAAAAAUAAGAGUUAGUUGCGUGUUUUAAAAUGACAACUAAAUAACUGUGCACUUGUUACUAAGUUCUACUGACGCGAUUCCAAUCAAGCUAUGCAAGUGAUUCAAAUUACACAGUUCGUGAUUCAAAUCUCCAUGUUGUCCUUUAAAAAACUUGAGACAAGUGGUUGAUAAGUGCUCAAUUACCAUAUAUUUGAUAUAUUGUUAAACCAC